AGCCUAAAAUUGAUAGGCCCUACGCCCCCUAUCCGCCCGGGUACUACGAGCACCAGCUUGAAACCCAAAGGACUUGGCGGUGCUUCACAUCCGUCUAGAGGAGCCUGUUCUAGAACCGAUAACCCCCGUUAAACCUCACCCUCCCUUGCUUGUACCGCCUAUAUACCGCCGUCGUCAGCCUACCCUGUGAAGGCCUAGAAGUGAGCAAAAUUGGUAAGACCCAAAACGUCAGGUCGAGGUGUAGUGAAUGAGAGGGGAAGAAAUGGGCUACAUUUCCUAAAUUAGGAAAUACGAAUAAUGAACUGAAAUAAGCAUUUGAAGGUGGAUUUAGCAGUAAGCAGAAAAACAGAGUGUUUCGCUGAAGUCAUGGCAAUAAAGCACGCACACACCGGCCG
Molecule: ribosomal RNA, 395 nt
Filed under: Amblyglyphidodon aureus (golden damselfish)
Lineage: Eukaryota; Metazoa; Chordata; Actinopteri; Pomacentridae
Description: partial 12S ribosomal RNA
Rfam family: Bacterial small subunit ribosomal RNA
Source: RNAcentral